GGCCAGUUGCUUACAUGCCCAGGUCGCUGUAGGUGUUGAAGAACUCCAUCUGGUUGCACGCCUGGAUCCAGCCCACCACCCAGAAUGCCAGUGAAAUACAGCUCAUUAUUCACAGACGUGGACCCGUGACAUUCUCAAAGGGCUCGUCCAUGACCUUGGUGCGUCUCCAAGAUCAUGAAUGUCACCAUGCUCCUGCAGUAGGCUCGUCACACCUCAGAGGAAUGUCCAUCAUGCCCUGUUGCUCAGCCGAGAGCCUGCACCCAGCAGCUGCUCAGUAAACGUUUGAAGGAUUAAACGUUUCCUUCAAAAUACGAUCGGGGACAGACAGCGGUGCAGCAGUAAAACUGAUACUCUGCAAGGCUCAUCUACGUGGGAAGGUUCUGGGUUUGUAUUCGGAGACCUUCAGAAAAUGUCAGGCAGGGACCAGCAGUUAGCGUAAUGGCUAUGUCGCUGGAC
This is a long non-coding RNA of Tupaia belangeri chinensis (Chinese tree shrew), 456 nucleotides long. RefSeq lists it as uncharacterized. The record is from RefSeq and is a predicted model, not a curated record. The transcript is spliced from 3 exons. Lineage: Eukaryota; Metazoa; Chordata; Mammalia; Scandentia; Tupaiidae.